GAUGAACGCUGGCGGCGUGCCUAAUACAUGCAAGUCGAGCGAACGGACGAGAAGCUUGCUUCUCUGAUGUUAGCGGCGGACGGGUGAGUAACACGUGGAUAACCUACCUAUAAGACUGGGAUAACUUCGGGAAACCGGAGCUAAUACCGGAUGAUAUUUUGAACCGCAUGGUUCAAAAGUGAAAGACGGUCUUGCUGUCACUUAUAGAUGGACCCGCGCUGCAUUAGCUAGUUGGUAAGGUAACGGCUUACCAAGGCAUCGAUGCAUAGCCGACCUGAGAGGGUGAGCGGCCACACUGGAACUGAGGCACGGUCCAGACUCCUACGGGAGGCAGCAGUAGGGAAUCUUACACAAUGGGCGAAAGCCUGACAGAGCAACGCCGCGGGAGUGAUGAAGGUCUUCGGAUCGUAAAACUCUGUUAUUAGGGAAGAACAUAUGUGUAAGUAACUGUGCACAGCUUGACGGUACCUAAUCAGAAAGCCACGGCUAACUACGUG
Molecule: ribosomal RNA, 497 nt
Filed under: uncultured bacterium
Lineage: Bacteria
Description: partial 16S ribosomal RNA
Rfam family: Bacterial small subunit ribosomal RNA
Source: RNAcentral